Molecule: ribosomal RNA, 515 nt
Filed under: uncultured bacterium
Lineage: Bacteria
Description: partial 16S ribosomal RNA
Rfam family: Bacterial small subunit ribosomal RNA
Source: RNAcentral
GAUGAACGCUGGCGGCGUGCCUAAUACAUGCAAGUCGAGCGAAUGGAUUAAGAGCUUGCUCUUAUGAAGUUAGCGGCGGACGGGUGAGUAACACGUGGGUAACCUGCCCAUAAGACUGGGAUAACUCCGGGAAACCGGGGCUAAUACCGGAUAACAUUUUGAACCGCAUGGUUCGAAAUUGAAAGGCGGCUUCGGCUGUCACUUAUGGAUGGACCCGCGUCGCAUUAGCUAGUUGGUGAGGUAACGGCUCACCAAGGCAACGAUGCGUAGCCGACCUGAGAGGGUGAUCGGCCACACGGGGAGUGGGACACGGCCCAGACGCGUACGGGAGGCAGCAGUAGGGAAUCUUCCGCAAUGGACGAAAGUCUGACGGAGCAACGCCGCGUGAGUGAUGAAGGCUUUCGGGUCGUAAAACUCUGUUGUUAGGGAAGAACAAGUGCUAGUUGAAUAAGCUGGCACCUUGACGGUACCUGACCAGAAAGCCACGGCUAACUACGUGCCAGCCGCCGCAGUAA